RNAcentral lists this ribosomal RNA (478 nucleotides) under uncultured bacterium. Its description in RNAcentral is "bacterial SSU rRNA". It matches the Rfam family "Bacterial small subunit ribosomal RNA", at positions 364 to 832 of the family's 1533-position model. The record is from RNAcentral.
UUCGCAAUGCCCGAAAGGGUGAACGAGCGACGCCGCGUGUGGGAUGAAGGCCUUCGGGUCGUAAACCACUGUUAAGGGGACUGAAGGGUACCGGUACGAAUACUACCGGUGCCAUCUGACAGGACCCUAGAGGAAGCACUGGCUAACUCCGUGCCAGCAGCCGCGGUAAUACGGAGGGUGCGAACGUUGUUCGGAUUCAUUGGGCUUAAAGGGCACGUAGGCGGUCGGCUUAGUCGGAUGUGAAAUCCCUCGGCUUAACCGAGGAACAGCAUCCGAAACUGGCCGGCUUGAGCGAAGAAGGGGAGAGCGGAACUUCUGGUGUAGCGGUGAAAUGCGUAGAUAUCAGAAGGAACGCCGGUGGCGAAAGCGGCUCUCUGGUCUUCUGCUGACGCUGAGGUGCGAAAGCCAGGGGAGCAAACGGGAUUAGAUACCCCGGUAGUCCUGGCUGUAAACGAUGGGCACUAAGUAGAGGGGUUUU